This 471-nucleotide ribosomal RNA is filed under the name uncultured organism. Its description in RNAcentral is "partial 16S ribosomal RNA". It matches the Rfam family "Bacterial small subunit ribosomal RNA", at positions 335 to 797 of the family's 1533-position model. The record is from RNAcentral.
ACUCCUGCGGGAGGCAGCAGUGGGGAAUAUUGCACAAUGGGCGCAAGCCUGAUGCAGCCAUGCCGCGUGUAUGAAGAAGGCCUUCGGGUUGUAAAGUACUUUCAGCGGGGAGGAAGGCGAUAAGGUUAAUAACCUUGUUGAUUGACGUUACCCGCAGAAGAAGCACCGGCUAACUCCGUGCCAGCAGCCGCGGUAAUACGGAGGGUGCAAGCGUUAAUCGGAAUUACUGGGCGUAAAGCGCACGCAGGCGGUCUGUCAAGUCGGAUGUGAAAUCCCCGGGCUCAACCUGGGAACUGCAUUCGAAACUGGCAGGCUAGAGUCUUGUAGAGGGGGGUAGAAUUCCAGGUGUAGCGGUGAAAUGCGUAGAGAUCUGGAGGAAUACCGGUGGCGAAGGCGGCCCCCUGGACAAAGACUGACGCUCAGGUGCGAAAGCGUGGGGAGCAAACAGGAUUAGAAACCCGUGUAGUCCCA